RNAcentral lists this ribosomal RNA (443 nucleotides) under uncultured bacterium. RNAcentral's name for it is "partial 16S ribosomal RNA". It matches the Rfam family "Bacterial small subunit ribosomal RNA", at positions 28 to 507 of the family's 1533-position model. The record is from RNAcentral.
GAUGAACGCUGGCGGCAUGCCUAACACAUGCAAGUCGAUCGGUAAGGCUCUUCGGAGUACACGAGAGGCGGACGGCUGAGUAACGCGUAGGAACACACCCUGCAGUGAGGGAUAAGACACCGAAAGGUGUUCUAAUACCGCAUACGGUCCUCGGAUUAAAGCAUUUAUGCGCUGAAGGAGUGGCCUGCGUCAUAUUAGAUAGUUGGUGAGGUAAUGGCUCACCAAGUCGAUGAUGUGUAGCUGGUCUGAGAGGAUGAUCAGCCAGACUGGAACUGAGACACGGUCCAGACUCCUACGGGAGGCAGCAGUGAGGAAUAUUUCACAAUGAGCGAAAGCUUGAUGGAGCAAUGCCGCGUGCAGGAUGAAGGCCCUCGGGUUGUAAACUGCUUUUAUAAGAGAAGAUUAUGACGGUAACUUAUGAAUAAGGGACGGCUAACUACGUG